This 253-nucleotide ribosomal RNA is filed under the name uncultured bacterium. RNAcentral's name for it is "partial 16S ribosomal RNA". It matches the Rfam family "Bacterial small subunit ribosomal RNA", at positions 524 to 776 of the family's 1533-position model. The record is from RNAcentral.
UACGUAGGGGGCAAGCGUUGUCCGGAAUCAUUGGGCGUAAAGGGCUCGUAGGCGGUUUGUCGCGUCGGGGGUGAAAACCCAGGGCUUAACCCUGGGCCUGCUUCCGAUACGGGCAGACUAGAGGUAUGCAGGGGAGAACGGAAUUCCUGGUGUAGCGGUGAAAUGCGCAGAUAUCAGGAGGAACACCGGUGGCGAAGGCGGCCUUCUGGACUGACACUGACGCUGAGGCGCGAAAGCGUGGGGAGCAAACAGG